UUAACCUUUCGGGGAGGACGCUCACCACUUUGUGGUUCAUGACUGGGGUGAAGUCGUAACAAGGUAGCCCUAGGGGAACCUGGGGCUGGAUCACCUCCUUAACGAUAGAU
RNAcentral lists this ribosomal RNA (110 nucleotides) under Aliivibrio sp. SR45-2. RNAcentral's name for it is "partial 16S ribosomal RNA". It matches the Rfam family "Bacterial small subunit ribosomal RNA", at positions 1435 to 1533 of the family's 1533-position model. Lineage: Bacteria; Pseudomonadati; Pseudomonadota; Gammaproteobacteria; Vibrionales; Vibrionaceae. The record is from RNAcentral.